GAUCGCGAGGAGACCAGAAUGCCUGUACACCCUGAGGGUGUGUGCAGUGCACACCUGAAAGUUGGCAAGGUGAUGGAGGAACUGGUUGAACGGACUGAAGCUGUGGAGAACAGACUGGCUGCAGGAGCAGUAACAUCAGCGACUCUGCAGCAGAUUCCUACAACCCAUCUCGUGAGGUAAAAAGGAUCCACAGGAGUCUGGAGGACAGGCACAAAUACAGAGGAAAUGAGAGGUUCACUUCUGAGCACAACUCCGGUGGCACAAAUUCAAUGUUGUGGACAAUUGCAGAUGAAGAGGAAUGUGACACCUCUUUGAUCAGAACAACAGAUACUUUGAGAACAUCAGGAGGG
This is a long non-coding RNA of Melanotaenia boesemani (Boeseman's rainbowfish), 350 nucleotides long. RefSeq lists it as uncharacterized. The transcript is spliced from 5 exons. NCBI's taxonomy places the organism in Eukaryota, Metazoa, Chordata, Actinopteri, Atheriniformes, Melanotaeniidae. The record is from RefSeq and is a predicted model, not a curated record.